Molecule: long non-coding RNA, 4328 nt
Organism: Falco peregrinus (peregrine falcon)
Lineage: Eukaryota; Metazoa; Chordata; Aves; Falconiformes; Falconidae
Exons: 2
Source: RefSeq, a predicted model, not a curated record
UUAUGCUAUGCAUCUUCAGUCUGUUGGAUUUCUUCAACAGAGCAGUUCAUUUGCUGUUUCACAGAUGGGAAUCAGUUUGUUUAUACUUAGGUUUUACAUGAGCUCAUACUAGAGAUUGUGAACAAGUUUGUUUGGAUUUGAAGACUUCCAAAAACUGGAUGUGACAUGAAAGAGGUCUUCCUUGCAAUAGGAAGAAAAUGAUUUGGUGUUUUCAUAGACUUUGCACUGUUAGGAUUAUUUUCAUGGUGAAAAAACCCCCUCAUACUCUGAAAUUGAUUCACCAGUGUCAGACCUUCCCAUCCUACUGAUGUGUUUUAUUCUGUGGAGCUGCUGGGCUUCAUCCAUGCUGGUUUAAAGCUUAGCUUUGAUUUUUCGGUUCCUCUGUGUUCUAAAGUAUAAUAAUUGUGUGUGUGUGUGUGUGCGUGCACGUGUGUUUUGGGAGUGUUGUCAGGUUCUUAGUUGGAAGAGUUGACUUCAUACUAUAGAAAAGUUACUGAACUAUGUACUGAAGUGGAUAUAUGUAAGAAUACAUAUAUAUACACACACACAAGAGCGUGUGGAGGUGUGAAAAUUUAAGACCUGUGAUAGUGUUGGUGAAUAGUUGCAGGUGGCACACAUGCUCAUAUUUGUGUUGUCUGUCCAGAGAAAAUUACCAUGUUAACAGCACUUGAUUUGCAUUGCGAAGGGAAUUAGUUGGCUUACCCCUGAUGGGAACCUGAGGAUAAGCUGAUAUGUGUGAGCUACAGAUGUUUUGGGACCAGGACCCAGGAGCAAAACAGGAUCAACAGUGCAGAUACUUGCAGUUGUCAGACUUCCUGUAAGAUACUUCAUAAUUAUUUGAAUGCCUUAUUGAUAAUGCACCAGGACAAGUGGUGAUUACUAAGGAAGUGUAGAGGCUCAAAACUGAAAUACACUUACUUGAAUUUGCUAACCAAAGUACAGAAUUUACAUCACUACCUUGAGAAGCUGGAGGGUUACAAGACUGCCAGCAAACAAUAUUCAGUCAACAGGUAUUGAAUUUUUCAAUGCAUAUACUAAAUUUCAUCUUGAUCAUGCCUUUAUCCAUAUUACUAUUUGGAAAUCUGCACUAUGUAACCAAGUUCACAUGUUCACUGUUGGUAUUUGGGCAGCUUCAAAUCAAAAGGUUUAUGUAGAGUAGGUUGUGUCUCAGUCCUUGUGUGUGUAUGCAUAAACAAUGGGAAAGGGCUAGACAAGGCAUUUUUGGAAGGAUCUUGUCUCUUGGUGCGGCUUUUUGACUGUGGGCAGUGUAAAUAUCCUUUUGUCUUGGAGAUCGAGAUAUGAGAGAGAUGAGAAUCAGGAUAGGAAGAAGGAGAGUUGGAUCAGAAAUACCCUGUAGAGAAGUUGGGAUUCUUCAUGGAUUCUGUAUGGGCAAUUAAGUGAUUCUGGUGUUUUGAAAACUUUUCUUUUUAUUUGUAUAGCAACAAAUAGUUCAGGAAAAAUUAGCUUUGUUUUCCUUAAAAAAAAAAAGCAACACCAAAAAAUAACCACAAGGAGCUUAAGCUUUUGAAGAUUGAAAAUUAACUCAGCUUUUCUUUACAGUUUGUAUAUUGCCAUGUACAUUACUUUUAAAGAGAUAGCCCUUCAAACAUACAGAGUUUUUAGUAUUACUGCAGUGAUCAAACAAAAUGACAGCAAGUGCAUCAGCUGAAGAGUAGGAUCAGUGUGUUUGUGUGUGUGUUUGUGUGUGUGAAGUGUUUAAAUCUAGGAACCCUUUGUAUGUCAACAGUAAAGUUGCCUCUUAAAUUUUGAGGGGAAAAAAUCUUUCAAGUAGAAAAUGUCUAUUUUGAAAGCAUGUUUUGCAACAAGCUCUUUUCUUUAGCAUUCAUCCUCUUUAGAAAUAGAAGUUCUAUUGUGAACUUUGAGGUAUUCAAUGAUGGAUGAGGGUUACUAGCAGUUGUGAUUACUUGUGGGUGGUUGACAGACUUAUUACUAUGGGGAUGCUGCAGCAGAAGCCAGCAGGGAAACUAUCUGUGUAUCUUCAGGUUAUAUGGUAGGUUAAUAGGCUGCGUGGCACACUUACACUCUGUGUAUUCAGUGAGGCUUUUGUCUUGUGUGCAAGCAGUCUUUAUACGCUAAAGAUGAUGAUCUUGUUAAUUUUAUUUAAAUAUUGGAGCAUUAAAACAUGGGCACAUCUGCUGCAUCGAUGUGAAAGUAUGUACAAAAAUAAGGUAUGUUAGAGCAUUGUCCUGUAAAGAAGUGUAAAAAUCAUUAUCGCAACUCUUGUGUCUUGCUUGAUUCAAGCAUAGUCAAAGUGGGAGACGAAGGCUCUAGCACCUAGAGAGCUUUGUGCUUUGUAGGUGUGGUGGGUUAACCUUGGCUGGCCUCCAGCUGCCUAGCCAGUUGGUCUGUCACUACCCCCCUCCUCAAGAACACAAGGAGAGAAAAUAAGAUGAAAAAAGCUCAUGGGUUGAGGUUAAAACAGGGAGAUCACUUACCGAUUAACAUCACAGGCAAAACAGACUCAACUUGGGGAGGAGUAAUUUAAUUUAUUGCCAGUUAACAACAGAGUAGCAUAGUGAGAAAUAAAUUAAAAAACCAGAAUUAAAACCACCUUCUCAUCACACACCCUUCUUCACAAGCUCAACUUCACUCCCAACACUUUUUUCUCCUUCCCCCAAGUUGCACAGGAGGAUGGGGAAUGGAGGUUGCAGUCAGCUCAUAAUGCUUCAUCUCUGCUGCUCUUUCUUCCUCAUGCUGUUCCCUUGCUCCAGUGUGGGGUCCCUCCCAGGAGCUGCAGCUCUUCAAGAACUGCUCCAGCAUGGGUCCUACCCACGGGGUACAGUCCUUCAGGAACAGACUGCUCCAGCAUGGAUUCUUCAUGAGGUAACAGGUCCUGCCAGAAAACCUGCGCCAUAGAGACUAUGGCCUGCACCUCCUGCCACGAGCCUGAUCCGUGUGGGCUUUCCACAGGCUGCAGCUUCCUUCAGGGCAUAUCCACCUGCUCUGGCAUGGGGUCCUCCAUGGGCUGCAGGGUGCGUGUCUGUUCCACUGUGGUCCUCCAUGGGCUGCAGGAGGGCAGCCUGCAUCACCGUUGUCUUUUAGGGAAUAUUUGCUCUGAGGUGUCGGCAUUGCUGAUGGACUCAGCUUUGGCCAGCGGCUGGUCCAUCAUGGAACUGGCUGGAACUGUCUCUGUCCAACAUUAGGAGCAGCUUCUAGUGUCUACUUAAAGAAGCCACCCCUGUAGCUCCCCCACUACCAAAGCCUUGCCACAUAAACCCAAUAUGGUAGGAAAAUAAGAUGUUGUGUAUAUCUCCUGUGAUGGGGAACAGAUAAAACACUUCAGAGGAAGGCAAAAGUCUCAUAUAGUUGGCAGUGUGAUUUAUAGGGAUAAUGUUAUCCUUCUUGGCAAAUUGUGUUACUAAUAUGCGUAAGAUGACUGUCUUAGAACAAGUGACAACAAGGGAAGGUAGCUUUAGUUAUAACAUGAUAUAGCAGCAGUAGAGAGAGUAUCUUCUGAUUUCUGUGCUAUUGCAGCCUUUCAGGAGGUACCAGAUAUGGAGGAGGACCAGGCAUUUUAGCACCUAUUUACAUUAAAUAACGUUUUUUGAGUCUUAGGGCAAACUGAUUACUAAUUGUGAAUUAAAAAAGCAGUGAAAUGGGAGCAAUCUUUAGCAAGAGUGGAUUAUCAAUACCAUAUUUGACCACAGAUCAAGGUGUUUUUAACAUGCGGGCAGUUUGGAAGAUUAGUUAAUGACUUAAAACUGAGUUUUGUGAUAUUUUUAGAGUCGUAGUUUUUGAGUUAAAACAGGUAUGCUUCUUGCUUAGGGCACUCUAUCAGUUUAUCCCGAAGCAGUAGUUUAUCGACAUUUGCUGUUUUGAGUGACAUGGCAAGAAUAGCGGGAGAACCACAGGGUUGGGACAAGUGUUUUAGUGCUUCAUUCCCCACAGCUGGCACCAAAGCUAUAUAUGAAGGUCCUAUCAAUUAUUAAUUGUGGCUGUUUUGUCAUUACAAAAAAAGUCUUCAUUCAGCUUUUGAGAGCUAUUAAGCUGCUGUCUGGGAAGUCACAAUGAUGAAAAGUCAUUGUGAUUUUUGUCACGAAUAUAAAGGUCCGAAUACAAGCACACCUACAUGUCAGCCAGUCCCUGUCUUUUUCUCUCCUGUUACCUACCUCAGUGUUGAUAUUUAUGGGCUCCUUUCACUUUGAGCCAGCCCUGCUGUAGCAUGCAGCUACACAGCUAAAUGGGAUUAGGGAUCUCUGUCCUGGUAUGUUCAAACACGCAUGCUGUCUGGAGAACUGUUGGCAAGAGGAGAGCAGCAACAGUCGCCUCAACGAUUGCCAGAGUGACUCAGAAAAUCAGGACCUAAA